Alosa alosa (allis shad) is the source of this 187-nucleotide long non-coding RNA. RefSeq lists it as uncharacterized. NCBI's taxonomy places the organism in Eukaryota, Metazoa, Chordata, Actinopteri, Clupeiformes, Clupeidae. The record is from RefSeq and is a predicted model, not a curated record. The transcript has 3 exons.
GGAUUAACCGCUUUCAGGAAAUUAACUCACAGUGCAUCUUUGGUGUCACCUAACCACUUAGUAGGAUCAGAUAAUCAAACUACUAAAAAUGUGGGAAACAACAACUACUGUGGUCAUGAUGAUUCUUGCAACACAUUUAAUUACAACUACCUCAACAACAAAUGAAACAACAACUACUACAAUUGAG